RNAcentral lists this long non-coding RNA (723 nucleotides) under Malus domestica (apple). RNAcentral describes it as "long non-coding RNA (MDOM_LNC000809)". Lineage: Eukaryota; Viridiplantae; Streptophyta; Magnoliopsida; Rosales; Rosaceae. The record is from RNAcentral.
CGAACUAACAUUUUAACUGUUGAAACUAGGACGAAAAUGCAAUGACAAAAAUUAUUGGGAUAAACGUGAAACUCAUCAUAUAUCUUUUCAUUACUAGCAAUAAUAUACACUAAGAAGAUGAGGGUUUGAUUCCGGAACGCAAUACGUGAAGAGGAAUGCCCUAACUAGGGCAAUCCACAAGUUUGACCAAAGCAAAAAGAAGGGAAUUACAGAACAGGAACAACAUCAAUGACGGGAAAGGGAUAAUAGUUCGGAAUCAAUGACCACAUUAAACAAGGAAAGUCUCCCACAAUAUAUAUCUGAUUCCACAAUAUGAUGAACUUAAAUAACAACAACUAUAUUUUUGGAGGGAAGUAAGAGGAACCCAGUUCUUUACUUAUAUUUUGGGACACUUUACAAGGAAGAAAUGCAAGAAAAGGAUCAUGGUUGGCCCCAUCUCCGAAAGCCAAAAGGUCCUACAAAUGUACCAACUCCUAUAUAUAUGAAUGGGAGUAGAGUAAUCGGUCCCAUAACUAAAUAUUUUAAAUUCAGUUUUUUGCCCUUCAGCAACAAUGCAAAGGAGUGCCUCUUCCGUUUCUUCAACAAAGCAAAGAAGUGCCUCUUCCGUUUCUUCAACAAGCAAAGAAGUGCCUCUUUCGUUUCUUCAACAAUGCAAAGAAGUGCCUCUUCCGUUUCUUCAACAAUGCAAAGAAGUGCCUCUUUCGUUUCUUCAACAAUGCAAAG